CCUACGGGUGGCAGCAGUGAGGAAUAUUGGUCAAUGGGCGUAAGCCUGAACCAGCCAAGUCGCGUGAGGGAUGAAGGUUCUAUGGAUCGUAAACCUCUUUUAUCAGGGAAUAAAGUGUGGGACGUGUCCUGCUUUGUAUGUACCUUAUGAAUAAGGAUCGGCUAACUCCGUGCCAGCAGCCGCGGUAAUACGGAGGAUCCGAGCGUUAUCCGGAUUUAUUGGGUUUAAAGGGUGCGUAGGCGGCCUGUUAAGUCAGCGGGGAAAGUCGGUGGCUCAACCAUAGAAUUGCCGUUGAAACUGGGAGGCUUGAGUAGGUUUGAGGCAGGCGGAAUGCGUGGUGUAGCGGUGAAAUGCUUAGAUAUCACGCAGAACCCCGAGUGCGAAGGCAGCCUACCAAGCCAUGACUGACGCUGAUGCACGAAAGCGUGGGGAUCAAACAGGAUUAGAUACCCUUGUAGUC
This 460-nucleotide ribosomal RNA is filed under the name uncultured bacterium. Its description in RNAcentral is "partial 16S ribosomal RNA". It matches the Rfam family "Bacterial small subunit ribosomal RNA", at positions 338 to 795 of the family's 1533-position model. The record is from RNAcentral.